GACGAACGCUGGCGGCGUGCUUAACACAUGCAAGUCGAACGCCCCGCAAGGGGAGUGGCAGACGGGUGAGUAACACGUGGGAACGUACCCUUUGGUUCGGAAUAACUUGGGGAAACUCAAGCUAAUACCGGAUAAGCCCUUAUGGGGAAAGGUUUACUGCCGAAGGAUCGGCCCGCGUCUGAUUAGCUAGUUGGUGAGGUAAUGGCUCACCAAGGCGACGAUCAGUAGCUGGUCUGAGAGGAUGAUCAGCCACACUGGGACUGAGACACGGCCCAGACUCCUACGGGAGGCAGCAGUGGGGAAUAUUGGACAAUGGGGGCAACCCUGUUCCAGCCAUGCCGCGUGAGUGAUGAAGGCCUUAGGGUUGUAAAGCUCUUUUACCCGGGACGAUAAUGACUGUACCGGGAGAAUAAGCCCCGGCUAACUUCGUGCCAGCAGCCGCCGUAA
This 447-nucleotide ribosomal RNA is filed under the name uncultured bacterium. RNAcentral describes it as "partial 16S ribosomal RNA". It matches the Rfam family "Bacterial small subunit ribosomal RNA", at positions 28 to 523 of the family's 1533-position model. The record is from RNAcentral.